This 363-nucleotide transfer-messenger RNA is filed under the name Bacilli. RNAcentral's name for it is "RUG11198 sp902766815 Standard tmRNA". It matches the Rfam family "transfer-messenger RNA". From Rfam's summary of the family: Bacterial tmRNA, also known as 10Sa RNA or SsrA, is named for its dual tRNA and mRNA-like properties. RNAcentral also lists the same sequence under 1 other name. Lineage: Bacteria; Bacillati; Bacillota. The record is from RNAcentral.
GGGGUCGUAUUGGCUUCGACAAAAUUAACUGAACUAGAAUAGCAAGUCGAUUUAUUCACGUCACGAAUUAAAUUAAAUAUAGCUGGAAACGACUAUAAUUAUUCUACUGGAUACGCUUUCGCGUAAAUUAAUAUAAUACAGUAGGUUCUAUUCUUUCUUUGCCUGUGAGAGAGAUUUAGGACAAAUAAAGCAGACUAUAUUAUAUUUCUCUCCUAAGAAAUAUAAUGAACAUUCUAGGAUAGUAAAUAUUUUUGCUUGUUAAUUCGCUUAUAUAUUUAUGAAGUGUUGAGUAAUUAACUAAACUUGUAGAAGUUUUAGGGAUGUUAUUUUUGGACGGGAGUUCGAAUCUCCCCGACUCCACCA